This 270-nucleotide ribosomal RNA is filed under the name Triticum aestivum (bread wheat). RNAcentral's name for it is "partial small subunit ribosomal RNA". The record is from RNAcentral. Lineage: Eukaryota; Viridiplantae; Streptophyta; Magnoliopsida; Poales; Poaceae.
AUGCUCGGGCUCGACACUUCCGCUUGGCCCUUGUUUGAAACGGUUGAAGAUUGGUGGGCAAGCACUUGCGUCGAAGGAACGCCAGAUCGUCAAGCCAAGGCCUCCAUCACCAUGCUUGUCUCUUGGAUAGUCUGGAACGAGCAGAACGCAAGGGUUUUUAAGCAUAAGAGUGCCCCACCGCCAAUCUUGCUUUCGUCCAUCUCCACCGAGGCAAACCUUUGGGUCAAUGCCGGAGCUAAGAAAUUAGGGUCUUUUAUUGCGCGCGAGUAA